GAUGAACGCUGGCGGCGUGCCUAAUACAUGCAAGUCGAGCGAACAGACGAGGCGCUUGCUCCUCUGACGUUAGCGGCGGACGGGUGAGUAACACGUGGAUAACCUACCUAUAAGACUGGGAUAACUUCGGGAAACCGGCGCUAACACCGGAUAAUAUAUUGAACCGCAUGGUUCAAUAGUGAAAGACGGUUUUGCUGUCACUUAUAGAUGGAUCCGCGCCGCAUGAGCUAGUUGGUAAGGUCAAGGCUUAUCACGGCGAGGAUGCGUAGCCGACGUGAGAGGGGGGUCGGCCACACGGGAGCGGGGACAGCGACCUGGGGCCUGCGGGAGGCAGCAGUAGGGAAUCGUCGGCAGUGGUCGAGAGCCUGACGGAGCAGCGGCGCGUGAGAGGUAGAGGUCUUGGGAUCGUGAUGCUCUGUUAUGAGGGAUAAACAAAUGUGUAAGUAACUAUGCACGGCUUGACGGUACCGGAUCAGAAAGCCACGGCUAACUACGUG
Molecule: ribosomal RNA, 497 nt
Filed under: uncultured bacterium
Lineage: Bacteria
Description: partial 16S ribosomal RNA
Rfam family: Bacterial small subunit ribosomal RNA
Source: RNAcentral